AGGCUGAUAAGAUUUUCAUCAACCUAAAAAUCAUUCAUACCAAUAUCAAGUGACACCCGGGAUUCCCACAAACACUUCAGUAGGGAGGAUGAUUUUUUUGUUUAAACAGAUCAUUCCCCAAUGAAGUGUUUGGCGGAACACCGGGGGCACCUGAUUAUGUUGUUUCUGCAUGUUCAGAAAGAGACGAAGCCAUGAUCAAAUUGCUGUAGCAAGUGAACCUAGACACAACUAUAGGCCAUAUGGACAGGAUCCGGCUUAAAUGCGGUAGUUUAAACUACCGCAUAUUUGCUGUGGUUGAAAUCAAAGGCCCAUAUUUAAUUUUGAGUUAAACAGUGACUGAAGGAAACAGCGUAACAAAAAAAAAGAAAAAUCACUCUCUCUCUCAUUGUCAGACACACACGUUCUCUCUCUUCAUUAGCAGGUGCAGGAAAGUGAAAAUCCUUCCCCUUUUUCUUCCCUGAUCUGCAUCUGUCCUUUCCUUCCUCUCCAAUGCAAAUCAUUCCCUUUCCCACCAAAAAAAAAAAAGAAAAGAUAUAAAAGAAAUUACAUAUCCCUAUUUUCUAAAUAAAAAUGCCUUCAUUGCAGGAGGAACAGUUCCCGUCAACGUUAGGGAAGUUCAAGAUCGAGCGGGCCCACGCCAUGAACCGCCAGUUCCACCGCUGUUUCACUUCCACCAACACCACGUUCUUGUUGGCGCUCUUCUUGAUCGCCCUCACGGCGUCGUAUUUGAGUUUCCAGAGUUUUGUCGAUUCCAGAAUCGGCCUCCCGGGGUGGCAUCCGGAAAGUGAAAAUCCUUCCCAUUUUUUUUCCUGAUCUGCAUCAGACUCUGAUGCAGAUAAGGAAAAAAAAAAGGGAAGGAUUUUCACUUUCUGGCACCUGCUAAUGAAGAGAGAGAACGUGUGUGUCAGACAGUGAGAGAGAGAGAGAGUGCUUUUUCUAUUGUUUUUUGACGCCGUUGCCUUCAGUAACAGUUUGACUCAAAAUUAAAUCUGGGCCUUUAAUUUCAACCACAGCAGAUAUAAGCCGGAUCCAUAUGGACAUGGUAGAAAAUAUUUGCUAGACUGUGCACUUCAAGAGGCCCCAUGCAAAUUUUAUGUUUUUCAAUAUCCUCUGUCCAUAUUACAAAAAAAAAAAAAAAAUCCUCUGUCCACCCAAUCCCUUUCACUUUUUCUAGUACACACAAAAGCAAGUCCUUUUUUGUAAAACGUGCACGUUCUUUUGGGACGUGCGCAGGGUGCGUACUACUAGAAAGUUUGUUCAAGUUGAGAACCAUUAAUGCAAUUAGUUAGUAGACUGCUUAAUUAAUUCUAUAGAGUAAUGCUUCAGAACUCUUUUAAAUUCACUCUUCAUGUUUUUGAUAAGAUGGACGGUAUUUAUGUAAUUUUGGAUGUAACAUUUACUUAUUUAUAUAUUAUAUAAGUGACAUUCACCUAAAACAAGAGGAUGAAAAGUGAAUUUGAAAGAGUUCCAUAAUAUUACUCAAUUCUAUAUCAUCAAGGUUCACUUGUUUGGCCGUGUACGUACGUGUGAUAUGUUUGUGGACUUAGGCAUAGACACGUCCUCUCCGAUACAUUUUAAGGUUUUGUAUACGUGACAAAGAUUGAUGAUAGGCCCAUGAAAAGCCCUAAUGCCUACUCUCCUCAACAUUAUUCGAUUUGCUCUCUUCAUCUUACUCAAAAUUCCUACCAGGUUCAGUCUCAGCAACUUGGUUUGUUGGAUUUUUCUUAUCUCUAGGAAGUCUCCAACCAAUAGGCAAUAGCCACCUUCAAGUACCUCCCCCCAAAAAAUCUCCCUAUAAAUAGGGAAGUUACAGUGCAUUCCCUUACCAAGAAAGCAAUCACAAAAAAAGGAAGCGUCAGUUGUCUCCUAGAGUUCCCUUGAACACUUCACUAGCAAAUGGCCAGUGCUAUCCUACUGAAGUGUUUGGGGGAACUCUGGGAGCCAUCUGACAUAUAUUAGUAAAACAAAGUAUUUCGGUGGGUUAUCUUAUUGGUACUUGUACUUUUUUUUGGAUAAGUAAGAACUUCCCCCCCCCCCCCCCCCGCGCGGGCAGCGCGCGGCGAUAACAAUCUAUUGGGUAAGCUAAAACUCAUCAAAAUGAGUUCAUAAGACCCAUGCAUACAAUUAUUAUGCGUCUUGACUUUUAUCUUUGCCAUUUCUAUAUAUAUUGGCCUUUGAAAAAGAGAACUUGAUGCUGGGCAGUUUUCCAUCAUAUAAGCUUCCUUGUGUUGGAAAGUUGAUAAUUCAAAUUAAAGGUCAUGUUUCAUGGAGUUUUACCAAUUAUUCUUACAUUUACGAGGUCAAAACGGGUUACAAAGAGAAUUUUGACGAGGUGAUUUAGAGGAGUACCAGAAAAGUGCGUUUCAAAUCUCAAUUCAAACUAGAUUUGGAAAGAGGUGAUUUGGGAAGUUGCAGUAACGCGUGUUUGAAAUUUCAAUUCAAAUUGAAUUUGGAACAAGAUGACAUUUUUACCAGUUCGAACUGGCUGCAAAAAUUUUUUGUAAACCAACUUUCUUUUGGUGUUUUAUUAGAGUUAGAGGCCUAAGUAGUAUAAAUAUAUGUUAUGGCCGUCUAAAGCCCAAUUUUUUUUACAUAUUUUGAUCGGUUAUUAAUAAGAAAUAAGAAACACUUUUAGUGUUUUUUUUUUCCUAUCAUAUCUCAAAUCCUUGAUUGACUCUUGAGUUUGGGAAGAGUUGUGAUUCUUGUAUUGUUAUUUUUGCGACCUACUCAUCUUAAGAAAUCUUGAUAAUAUUAUAAUUAUUUUGAUUCAUAACCUGUGCCUCGACCCACUAUCCCUCAAAUCGUUAAUUGCAUGUCUUGAUAAUUGUAAUUCUUGACAAACUUAUCUUAAGAAAUCUAUCUUAAGUUUUACUCAAGAAAUAUUUGGGGUAUUUAAUUUUCCUAAGCGUUGGUUUAAACCAUAUACAGUUCCAAUCUAAAAACAAAACAAAAAAACAAAAAACAAAAACCAUAUACAGUACUUUCAACUCCAUCUUUUAUAAAAUAUUGUAAGAAACACAAGAAACUAAUGGCGAAUAAUACUAUUUCAUGGUUGGUCCAAUUUAUGGUUUACCAAAUACUUAGGGUUCAGAAAGAAAUUGAAAAUUAAAUUGAUUACAAGAUCGAACUAAAAGAUUUUUUUUUUUUGGUCUCAUGCUUCACGUCGUCCAUUAAAUUAAACCAUAUUAUAUGGUAGAACUGUAGAUGUAGUCUUCUUAGCCUCUUAGGCACGGCUAGCUGAGUGAUUGUUUAAAUUAUUUCUUUAUUUUCCUACAAUUUCUCAAUAACCAAAUGGAGAAUUAACGGUUUUUUUUUUUUUUGAUAUAAAUUUCCUAUAAAUUGGAAUGUAAGAAUUUUGUCAUCAGUUUAGUCUCUAAAGUGACAUAUAUUCUUUAAGCAUAUGAGAAACACAUAUAUUUUUAAUUAUACUAUUAAAAAGCAUGUAAAAAACACAUGCUAUUAAAAAAAUAUAUUAUUAAUUUCCACAUGCUAAGAAAAGCUUGACACAUUUAAAGACUAAAUUUAAAGAAUUUUUUUACAACUCAAUUGGUUAGAAAUUUCUGUCUUUUUUGUUUUUGUUUUUUUGUUUGUUUUUUUUUUCCUCUCUAUAUAUGCAUGAAAAGAAGGCUUCCGCAUUCCCCCUAAUUAUGCUUUAAUUGUUUUUCAGUAUUUUUAGUUGAGAUUCUCUUCUUUAUUUUGCCGCUUUUUAUUUGUUGAUUACAAUUUUCUCUUUUAUCCCAAAGGAGGGGGGAGUUGAUAAUAAAAUUAAAAUAAUAAUAAAAAAAGAGUGGCCACCCCUCGCACAGAGGCCACAACCCUAUUUGUGAGUGGCUGCUCCUCACAUAAAGAUUGUGAGUAGAAAUUACCCCUUGCAAAAGAGGGGUAGCGUGUAAUAAAAAAAGAUAAACUUCUAGUUGAGGGGAGGUGACCCUUCACAGAGGGAUGGCCAUAGGGAAAAUGUCUUCUCACAGGAUAGGGAUCGCCUCUCACAAAGAGGGAUUGCCACUCUCAUUCAUAAAAAUAAAUAAAUAAAUUUUUUAAAAAAAAGAUUGGCACCCCCUCAAUGAGGGAAAGUGGCCCCUUUCAUAAAGGAGUAACAACCCCUCUUUGUGAGGGGGGUGGCCACUCCUUUAUGAGAGGAUGUUGCCCCUCACAAGAGAGUAAUCACGUACCCCUCACCAAUUGAGCGAAAAUCCCCCUCACUAGUUAGUGGUGGCCGGCCAACAUCCUUCACUAGGGGUGGCUGGCCAGCUCUUUUAAAAAAUAAAAAGAAAAAAGAAAAGAACAUGUGGGCACCGCAUGCAAUAUAACUUCUAAGCCAGGUAAUGCU
This 4330-nucleotide precursor RNA is filed under the name Betula luminifera. RNAcentral describes it as "precursor microRNA MIR395a". The stretch from base 1860 to 1945 matches the Rfam family "mir-395 microRNA precursor family". The record is from RNAcentral. Lineage: Eukaryota; Viridiplantae; Streptophyta; Magnoliopsida; Fagales; Betulaceae.